RNAcentral lists this long non-coding RNA (2947 nucleotides) under Anolis carolinensis (green anole). Its description in RNAcentral is "lncRNA (ENSACAG00000037719.1)". Lineage: Eukaryota; Metazoa; Chordata; Lepidosauria; Squamata; Anolidae. The record is from RNAcentral.
GAUUCAACAAAGUUAUUGUGGUAAUAUGACUCCUUGUUCAAGAGCACUGACAGUCCCACUCAGAACAAAAAAGCACUUCGAUAGUCUUGUAUCUAAAAAUAAACUGUGUGCCAAAUGGAAUGUCAUGCAACAAUGACACAGAGCAAAACAGUGCGCGCUAUCAAGUGUAGAACACAAAGGGCAACUAAUCAUUCUGUUGGAAUACAUGACCAGGGUGAAAUUAUUGCUUACACAUCUAUUAAAGGUGUGCAGAUAAAUACAUAUGUACAAAACUGCUACCAAUCUGCUUCUAGAUCCGAAAUUCAAAUGUAAAGAAACUUUCACAGAAUCUCUUCCAACACAUGCAAAUCAAAGGUGGUCAGACUUCAGCCUAAAUAUAGUCUCCAUGUAAUAGGAUAAAAGGCACUAUAUGAACAAAUAAAUGAUGGUGAUAAUAUCUCUAAACAGUGGCAAAAACAUACAACUAAUGAAAUUCAAAAAGAUGUUCUGGAACACAAAAAUUUCAAAAGAAGGAAAAUUUCAAUACAUGUGGACAUUCAAAAGAAAGCUGCUUGAUAGAUUUGUAUGUUUACAGACUUUGAAUGUUUACAGUCAGGAUCAUAACUAGCAUCUUACUGUGUGAUCCCAUCACCUCAACUAUGUAAAGGUAAAGGUUUCCCCAGAUGUUAAGUCCAGUCAUGUCUGACUCUGGGGCUGGUGCUCAUCUCCAUUUCUAAGCCGAAGAGCCGGCGUUGUCCGUAGACACCUCCAAGGUCAUGUGGCCGGCAUGACUGCAUGGAGCGCAAUUACCUUCCCGCCGGAGCAGUACCUCUUGAUCUACUCACAUUGGCAUGUUUUUGAAUUGCUAGGUUGGCAGAAGCUGGAGCUCACAGCGGGCGCUCACUCCGCUCUAGGGAUUUGAACCUGGGACCUUUCGGUCUGCAAGUUCAGCAGCUCAGUGCUUUAACACACUUCGCCACCGGGGCUCCUCAACUAUGUAACUAUGCUAAUAUACCUUAUUUUUGUAUUCCAUCAGUGUAUUUGAAGGUGUGGUUUGAAAUUCAUGAAAGCUUUCAAAACCCAUCUUCAAAUACUCUGACGGACAAGUUAGGCUUUAAAGAUGAUACUUUAAAGGUUAUUCCAUGUCUUUUUUAUCCAGAAAACUGAUAUCUAUUCUAUGUCAUUUUCAAUUUUUAUUGGUAGUAUUAGAGUUAAAUUCAUUGUGCUUUCACACAAAUGUCCACUGCUCGUAAAGAGCUGGAUAGCCUUGUUUUACAUUGACAUUUACUGCGAAUCACCUACAAUAUACCAGUAGAUUCGAACCCACCUACUUCUUAUCUCCGUUUAUUUAUUUAUUUAUUUACGGCACUUUUACCUCACCUUUCUCAACCUCGGGGGGGGGGGGGGGGGACUCAAGGCAGCUUCACAACAUAGGCAACAACAAUUCAAUGCCUUUAAAAAACAGAAUACAAUAAAACAACCAUUGAAAAUAAAAUAAGAUACUAAAAUACAAUUAAAAACAUUUAAAUCCAUACAAUUGAGUAGAAGAAACAAUCUGUGAGUGCACAGACAUUGGUGUGUCAUUUUUGUGUAGUUUAUCCAAUUUGUAGAGUAUCUUUUAACCAAAAUGCUUGGAAUAUGUCUAUUGGAAUACCUUAUAUUUGCACAUACAUACAUAAAGAGAUAUCCUGGAUAUGAGACCCAAAUCUAAAUACAAGAGAUGUUAUUGUUGUUGUUGUUGUUGUUGUUGCUAUUUCUAUUAUUACUUGCCUCUCCGCACAGCUUGCGGGAAGCACAACGUAGUUUAAAUGUAUCAUCACAAGAAAUCUUGGUGAUGAGACCCAAGUCUAAACACAAAACUCAUUUAUGUUCCAUAUGCAUCUUAUCCAUGUGGGUAAUAUAAUGCACAAUAUUUGUAAUACUUGUGUGCAUGAAACAAAGUAUGUGUACAUUGAACCACCUGGAAGUAACAAUCUCAGCUAUCAUGUGAAUAUUUUUUGAUGUUGCCAUAUUUCAGGUUUUAGAAUUCCAGAUAAGGGAUGCUCAAGCUGUCGUAGCCUGUGAUCAUGAUAAGUUAGUUGUCUUCAUUUCUUCUUCAUUGUUGUGAUAAAUGCAGAGUAUUUUUUCCACCAAGCACUAGUGUGGAAUCAGACAUUGAAUGUACAAGUUUUCUUCUGCCACAAACGUGAAGGCACUUUAAUUGAGACUAGGUGCACUCCAUGUUCCACUUUAAUAAGAUAUGAAAAGUAACUUGGCUAUCUUUGAGGUCUGCAAAGCAAAGAAAAAUGAAAUAAAGAAGACUUUUAAAAUUUUAAGUAUAUUUUCUUUUCACCUGUAACAUGCCAAUAUUUUAUUCAUUCACAUAUUUUCAUUUAUGAAUCUUUUGCUUGGCUCUUUAUUAUUUUAUACUGGAAUAUUUUGAUUAAAUAUUUAAAAUGACCAUGGCCAAGGCUAGACAGCAUUGACCUUGGUAAUAACUUAACUUGGGGAGGGGGAGCUUUCACUUUAGAGAUACCAACUAAGAGAAUAUGCAGUUGAAAUAUUAUGCAUACCAUAACCAUUGCUAAUAGUAAACCAGCCCUUGCUUUUUUUUAACAGAGUAUUAUAUAGCACAAAACAUAACAUAACAAGUUGCACAUAACAACAAGUGCACCAGUGUUUUACUACUUUAUUGCUCACAAAUCAAGGGUAACAUAUAAUUUAAAAAUCCUUGUAGUGCUUUUUGAACCAUUUCAGAGGGAGAGGAUGUUUAAUAUAUACCCAACAUCUCGUUGCUAUGCAACCUGAAGAAUUAUGAAUUUAGCACCAUAAUGCCUGUCUAUUUUUUCCUGAUUGUAUUAGCUUAAUAAACAGAUUAAAGUGCAUUUGUAUUGAUGCAACUGUUGCCAAGGCCAGGGCUGUUGCCCCCAGCAACUGUUCCAUUUUGCAUCUCAGAGUCCAGAAAAGAUCACACAUCCCAUGAAAUUCC